UUUUAAGUCACAAAAAUGAUUUCUUCCCUUUCUUCAUUUCACGAAGAGGUUCUGUGGUUCAAUUAUUUCUCAGACUGUGACUUUGAUUAUGUAGGAAAUAGUUCCACUACCUGCUUGAAACAGAAACCUAGUAGAAGAGACUCAAAAGGUCAUCAUCACACUGCAAUGUUUGAGAUCAGCACUAGAAUGAAAAAUGCCAGCAUAAGGUUUAACCAUCCUCGGAAAGCACAGAAUCCACUGGAAGGUUAGCAAUGACAAGGAUUUGUCUUGGAACCAAUCUUUUCAGUAUUUUCAUUCUAUUAUACCCUGGCACAAGAAACAGACGAGCACUGCUAAAACAAAGUUAGGGGCACUGUCAAUAAAGAGUAAAACAGAGAUAUACCA
Molecule: long non-coding RNA, 384 nt
Filed under: Anas platyrhynchos platyrhynchos (common mallard)
Lineage: Eukaryota; Metazoa; Chordata; Aves; Anseriformes; Anatidae
Description: lncRNA (ENSAPLG00000021809.1)
Source: RNAcentral